UACGGAGGGUGCAAGCGUUACUCGGAAUCACUGGGCGUAAAGCGCGCGCAGGCGGUCUUUUAAGUUGGAUGUGAAAUCCUAUGGCUCAACCAUAGAACUGCAUCCAAAACUGAAAGACUAGAGUCUGGGAGGGGAAGAUGGAAUUAGUGGUGUAGGGGUAAAAUCCGUAGAGAUCACUAGGAAUACCAAAAGCGAAGGCGAUCUUCUGGAACAGUACUGACGCUGAGGCGCGAAAGCGUGGGGAGCAAACAGG
Molecule: ribosomal RNA, 253 nt
Filed under: uncultured bacterium
Lineage: Bacteria
Also listed under: 1 other name
Description: partial 16S ribosomal RNA
Rfam family: Bacterial small subunit ribosomal RNA
Source: RNAcentral